RNAcentral lists this ribosomal RNA (396 nucleotides) under uncultured bacterium. RNAcentral describes it as "partial 16S ribosomal RNA". It matches the Rfam family "Bacterial small subunit ribosomal RNA", at positions 523 to 918 of the family's 1533-position model. The record is from RNAcentral.
AUACGUAGGGCGCAAGCGUUGUCCGGAAUUACUGGGCGUAAAGGGCGUGUAGGCGGCCGAUCAAGUCAGGUGUGAAAUUUCAGGGCUCAACCCUGAGCGUGCACUUGAAACUGGUUGGCUUGAGUGCAGAAGAGGAAAGUGGAAUUCCCAGUGUAGCGGUGAAAUGCGUAGAUAUUAGGAGGAACACCAGUGGCGAAGGCGGCCUGCUGGACGACAACUGACGCUGAGGCGCGAAAGCGUGGGGAGCAAACAGGAUUAGAUACCCUGGUAGUCCACGCUGUAAACGAUGAAUACUAGGUGUGGGGGGACUGACCCCCUCCGUGCCGCAGUUAACACAAUAAGUAUUCCACCUGGGGAGUACGAUCGCAAGAUUGAAACUCAAAGGAAUUGACGGGG